UUAAGCAAUGCGGCCUUGCUGUAAAUAUGGACAGAGAUUGAUUACUUUUUAGGUGGGCACUCUUUAAGUUCUUUGAUGCUCAUAAAGGACCCUACGUACAUGU
Brassica napus (rape) is the source of this 103-nucleotide non-coding RNA. Lineage: Eukaryota; Viridiplantae; Streptophyta; Magnoliopsida; Brassicales; Brassicaceae. The record is from Rfam.